RNAcentral lists this ribosomal RNA (253 nucleotides) under uncultured bacterium. RNAcentral describes it as "partial 16S ribosomal RNA". It matches the Rfam family "Bacterial small subunit ribosomal RNA", at positions 524 to 776 of the family's 1533-position model. The record is from RNAcentral.
UACGGGGGGGGCAAGCGUUGUUCGGAAUCACUGGGCGUAAAGCGCACGUAGGCGGAUCUUUAAGUCAGGGGUGAAAUCCCAAGGCUCAACCUUGGAACUGCCUUUGAUACUGGGGAUCUCGAGUCCGGAAGAGGUGAGUGGAACUGCGAGUGUAGAGGUGAAAUUCGUAGAUAUUCGCAAGAACACCAGUGGCGAAGGCGGCUCACUGGUCCGGUACUGACGCUGAGGUGCGAAAGCGUGGGGAGCAAACAGG